UGUAUUAGCAAAAGUGCACAACUGUAGUAGUAACAAAAAGUAGCCAAUGUUUACCAAUGAUCGGAGACAAGAAGAGCGAACUGGAAGAUAUGGAACUUCAAGGCUGCAAUACCUUCAGGCUAACUCCGCCUACUGUUUGUUCUAAUUAUACACGAUUGGUCUUCGCUUAAUGUAUGCUGGAGUUGAUCCUAAUGUUUCACUUGGCCAUGUACUUCACUUUUGUUGCAGGAAUUGGUGACUCAAUUUCAGAGUGCUACUAGUCAAGGAACAAAAGGAGAAAAUUGUUGCUAAUUUGGCAAAUUUUGCUUUUGAUCCUUACAACUAUACCUAUUUGCGCCUGAUUACAUACAGCUCAAUGUGGUGGAACAUUUUCUGGACUGCAUAACAGAACCAAAUGAUAAGCUUGUGGAAUUUGGAGUAGGUGGGAUCUGAAAUUGUUGCCCCUAUCGGGCCAAUGCAGCAAUUAUCACUCAGUGUGGUGGUAACCCCCCUUGUUAUUCAAUGUUUAUCGAGCCCAGUUAGAAACACUGAUCUUUUUAUUUCGUUAAUCAUGUUGAACGAGGAGAUACAACUGUGGCAAUCGACAGGAAUAAAGCUCCGGAAGUAUCACUUGGUACUUGCAAAUUUUAUUCGACCAGAAUGGUUCAUAAAAGAAACAACACCAUUCGAUA
This is a long non-coding RNA of Rosa rugosa (rugosa rose), 671 nucleotides long. RefSeq lists it as uncharacterized. The record is from RefSeq and is a predicted model, not a curated record. The transcript has 5 exons. NCBI's taxonomy places the organism in Eukaryota, Viridiplantae, Streptophyta, Magnoliopsida, Rosales, Rosaceae.